UACGGAGGGUGCGAGCGUUGUUCGGAAUCACUGGGCGUAAAGGGCGUGUAGGCGGCCCGCUAAGUCUGAUGUGAAAGCCCGGGGCUCACCCCCGGAAGUGCAUUGGAAACUGGCGGACUCGAGUCCCGGAGAGGAGAGUGGAAUUCCUGGUGUAGCGGUGAAAUGCGUAGAUAUCAGGAGGAACACCGGUGGCGAAGGCGGCUCUCUGGACGGUGACUGACGCUGAGACGCGAAAGCGUGGGGAGCAAACAGG
Molecule: ribosomal RNA, 253 nt
Filed under: uncultured bacterium
Lineage: Bacteria
Description: partial 16S ribosomal RNA
Rfam family: Bacterial small subunit ribosomal RNA
Source: RNAcentral